Molecule: ribosomal RNA, 492 nt
Filed under: uncultured bacterium
Lineage: Bacteria
Description: partial 16S ribosomal RNA
Rfam family: Bacterial small subunit ribosomal RNA
Source: RNAcentral
AGUGAACGCUGGCGGUAGGCCUAACACAUGCAAGUCGAACGGCAGCACAGUAAGAGCUUGCUCUUACGGGUGGCGAGUGGCGGACGGGUGAGGAAUACAUCGGAAUCUACUUUUUCGUGGGGGAUAACGUAGGGAAACUUACGCUAAUACCGCAUACGACCUACGGGUGAAAGUAGGGGAUCUUCGGACCUUGCGCGAUUGAAUGAGCCGAUGUCGGAUUAGUUAGUUGGCGGGGUAAAGGCCCACCAAGGCGACGAUCCGUAGCUGGUCGGAGAGGAUGAUCAGCCACACGAGAACUGAGACACGGCCCAGACUCCUGCGGGAGGCAGCAGUGGGGAAUAUUGGACAAUGGGCGCAAGCCUGAUCCAGCCAUACCGCGUGGGUGAAGAAGGCCUUCGGGUUGUAAAGCCCUUUUGUUGGGAAAGAAAAGCAGCAGGUUAAUACCCCGCUGUUCUGACGGUACCCAAAGAAUAAGCACCGGCUAACUUCGUG